AAAUUGAAGAGUUUGAUCAUGGCUCAGAUUGAACGCUGGCGGCAGGCCUAACACAUGCAAGUCGAACGGUAACAGGAAACAGCUUGCUGUUUCGCUGACGAGUGGCGGACGGGUGAGUAAUGUCUGGGAAACUGCCUGAUGGAGGGGGAUAACUACUGGAAACGGUAGCUAAUACCGCAUAACGUCGCAAG
Molecule: ribosomal RNA, 191 nt
Filed under: Escherichia coli
Lineage: Bacteria; Pseudomonadati; Pseudomonadota; Gammaproteobacteria; Enterobacterales; Enterobacteriaceae
Description: partial 16S ribosomal RNA
Rfam family: Bacterial small subunit ribosomal RNA
Source: RNAcentral